This 925-nucleotide long non-coding RNA is filed under the name Fragaria vesca (wild strawberry). Its description in RNAcentral is "long non-coding RNA (FVES_LNC000934)". The record is from RNAcentral. Lineage: Eukaryota; Viridiplantae; Streptophyta; Magnoliopsida; Rosales; Rosaceae.
UUUUUUAGCUUGUAGUAGUAAUUUUUGUCAUCGUCGGAGGUCGGUCGGAAACCUCGCCGGAGGUCGGUCGGAAAUCUCACCGGAGGUCGGCCGGAAACUUUUGUAGUAGCUUUUGUAGGCGGUGGUAGUAGCUUUUAUAUCUGGUGGUAGUAGCUUUUUUAGCUGGUAGUAGUAAUUUUUAUCAUCGUCGGAGGUCGGCCAGAAACCUCGUCGGAGGUCAGUCGGAAAUCUCGUCGGAGGUCGGCCGGAAACCUCGCCGGAGGUCCGCUGGAAAUCUCGUCGGAAGUCCGCCGGAGACUGUUCCGAAAUGAGAGUGGUUGUUGACUUUUUAUACUAGUGGCAUUCUUGUAAAUAUAAAGGAGAAAAUCUAAUUUUUUUUGUUGGAUGGCAGUCUGUAAUUAUGUUGAACUUUAAUACUUAAUACAAAACUUUAUUUAAACUUGGGUGAACUUAUGUGGGUAAAAAUGUUUGGGUGGAUCUAUAUGGGAAAAAAUGUCUCAAAGUGAACUUAUAUGUAAUUGGCCCUUUAAUUUUCUGUUUUCAAUCCAAACACCAUAAAAAUCAGUUUGUUAUUUCAUUAAGUUUACCAUGGUUGUCAUAGUAAGUUGUAUUAAUCAAUCCUUAAGGGAACAACCACUUCUAUUCUACAAUUGAUUCGUGCACUUGCGAGUACUGAAUUAAAAUUUCUUGAUCGACCCAAUAUUGAGAUUUGUGCACUUGCAACGACACCAAAAACAUGUUGUAAAUUUUAAUGUAAUACUCGUAAGUGCACAAAUCAAUUGUAGAAUAAAAGUGCAAGUACGAGGUCGUUCCCUCAAUAAUUGAUUAAAACAACUAUGCUAAACUUAAUGAAAUAACAAUAUGAUUUUUAUGGUGUUUGGAUUGAAAAUAGAAAAUUAUAGAUAGAAAAUUGAAAACUAAAAAC